RNAcentral lists this long non-coding RNA (786 nucleotides) under Pongo abelii (Sumatran orangutan). RNAcentral's name for it is "lincRNA". Lineage: Eukaryota; Metazoa; Chordata; Mammalia; Primates; Hominidae. The record is from RNAcentral.
GCUGUAUCGAUUGUUGAGAUCUGGCGACUUGCUUAAAUUUCAUCAGCCUCACUUCUAUGGACUCUCAGGCCUCACGUGUACCAGCUCUCUGCUCUCCUUUGCCUUGGGACGUUCCAUCCCUGGAAGUUUCCCUGCCCACAUCUUUGUAGAGAGUCCAUUCUCCAAGCUUCAGUGUGUCAUCUGUUAGGACUAUGACCCACCUGGUACAUUACCUCAGGGCAUUCAUUUCAGGCUCCUUCUAAGUGGUCAAGUCUUCUGUCAGCCUAACAAGCAUAGCAAGAAGAUAUAGCCCCACAACCACUUUAUGCACAUAGUUAGAAGCAUAAAAUCUCAUGGAAAGAGACCGAUUAUCCACAGAAGAUGUUGUCUUGCCAUUUCUCUCAUGUUAGAGGUAAACCUCAGGUUCUCCUCCUGCCUUUUGCUAAGUAUAUGUCUUGAUGACAAGCCUUCUGCUAAUGAGCUGUGUUUCUGGACCGAUCAUGGUAGAAGUCAAUUGAAGUGUCCCUCACUUGGGGUUUCUUAAGGUCAUCUAUGAACUGACUCUGUCUCAAAAAAAAGGAAGAAUGAAAAAAAAAAAAAACUAGGACACCGCUAACAGGAAUGGGGACAAAGAAUCUGCACUGAUGAGGAAACUGAAACAGAAAAUCCAGAGUAAAUUCCACCAGGCCACACAGCAAGGUCUGAUAGAGCCAGGAGAGACUUUAUGAAAUCCAGACUCUCACACUAAUGCUCUAUCAGCUAGACCUCCAUGUGAGUCUCCCCAAUGUAGGUAGGAAGCACUUUCCC